AGAUAUGGGACCAGGUUGGAAGAUGAAGCUUAGAGGGUCUUAAUAACUAUCCACUAAAAAAGAAACUCCAGCGCAGUGCAGCAGUGACAGCGGAGGAAGCUGCGUCCUCGCGAUGUGAAAAAGCAUACAUGGCCCAAAAUGAAGGGGUCAAGGUUGCUGGUUGGUUAGCAUGACCCUGUUGUAGAACCCCAGCUGGUAGAUGUGACACCAUCUGGCUGCAAAUAUACAAGUUGCUUCAUUGACAACAAUUCAACAUCAUCCGCUUUUUCUAAGGAAAAUUCUUCCUUCCUGAGGUAAAUAGCGUUCGUCAGCUCCAGUUUGUAUCC
Pimephales promelas (fathead minnow) is the source of this 326-nucleotide non-coding RNA. The record is from RefSeq and is a predicted model, not a curated record. NCBI's taxonomy places the organism in Eukaryota, Metazoa, Chordata, Actinopteri, Cypriniformes, Leuciscidae.